Molecule: ribosomal RNA, 1337 nt
Filed under: uncultured bacterium
Lineage: Bacteria
Description: bacterial SSU rRNA
Rfam family: Bacterial small subunit ribosomal RNA
Source: RNAcentral
GACGCCCGCUGGCGGCGCGCCUAACACAUGCAAGUCGAACGAGCGAGAGAGAGCUUGCUUUCUCGAGCGAGUGGCGAACGGGUGAGUAACGCGUGAGGAACCUGCCUCAAAGAGGGGGACAACAGUUGGAAACGACUGCUAAUACCGCAUAAGCCCACGGUGCCGCAUGGUACAGAGGGAAAAGGAGCAUUCCGCUUUGAGAUGGCCUCGCGUCCGAUUAGCUAGUUGGUGAGGUAACGGCCCACCAAGGCGACGAUCGGUAGCCGGACUGAGAGGUUGAACGGCCACAUUGGGACUGAGACACGGCCCAGACUCCUACGGGAGGCAGCAGUGGGGAAUAUUGCACAAUGGGGGAAACCCUGAUGCAGCGACGCCGCGUGGAGGAAGAAGGUCUUCGGAUUGUAAACUCCUGUUGUUGGGGAAGAUAAUGACGGUACCCAACAAGGAAGUGACGGCUAACUACGUGCCAGCAGCCGCGGUAAAACGUAGGUCACAAGCGUUGUCCGGAAUUACUGGGUGUAAAGGGAGCGCAGGCGGGAAGACAAGUUGGAAGUGAAAUCUAUGGGCUCAACCCAUAAACUGCUUUCAAAACUGUUUUUCUUGAGUAGUGCAGAGGUAGGCGGAAUUCCCGGUGUAGCGGUGGAAUGCGUAGAUAUCGGGAGGAACACCAGUGGCGAAGGCGGCCUACUGGGCACCAACUGACGCUGAGGCUCGAAAGUGUGGGUAGCAAACAGGAUUAGAUACCCUGGUAGUCCACACCGUAAACGAUGAUUACUAGGUGUUGGAGGAUUGACCCCUUCAGUGCCGCAGUUAACACAAUAAGUAAUCCACCUGGGGAGUACGACCGCAAGGUUGAAACUCAAAGAAUUGACGGGGGCCCGCACAAGCAGUGGAGUAUGUGGUUUAAUUCGACGCAACGCGAAGAACCUUACCAAGUCUUGACAUCCCUUGACAGGCAUAGAAAUAUGUUUUCUCUUCGGAGCAAGGAGACAGGUGGUGCAUGGUUGUCGUCAGCUCGUGUCGUGAGAUGUUGGGUUAAGUCCCGCAACGAGCGCAACCCUUAUGGUCAGUUACUACGCAAGAGGACUCUGGCCAGACUGCCGUUGACAAAACGGAGGAAGGUGGGGAUGACGUCAAAUCAUCAUGCCCUUUAUGACUUGGGCUACACACGUACUACAAUGGCGUUAAACAAAGAGAAGCAAGACCGCGAGGUGGAGCAAAACUCAGAAACAACGUCCCAGUUCGGACUGCAGGCUGCAACUCGCCUGCACGAAGUCGGAAUUGCUAGUAAUCGUGGAUCAGCAUGCCACGGUGAAUACGUUCCCGGGCCUUGUACU